UACGUAGGGUGCAAGCGUUGUCCGGAAUUAUUGGGCGUAAAGAGCUCGUAGGCGGUCUGUUGCGUCGGCUGUGAAAACCCGAGGCUCAACCUCGGGCCUGCAGCCGAUACGGGCAGACUAGAGUUCGGCAGGGGAGACUGGAAUUCCUGGUGUAGCGGUGAAAUGCGCAGAUAUCAGGAGGAACACCGGUGGCGAAAGCGGCUCACUGGAUCGAAACUGACGCUGAGGUGCGAAAGCUAGGGUAGCAAACGGG
Molecule: ribosomal RNA, 253 nt
Filed under: uncultured bacterium
Lineage: Bacteria
Description: partial 16S ribosomal RNA
Rfam family: Bacterial small subunit ribosomal RNA
Source: RNAcentral